UUAAGUAAUUAUGUGGCCGAUAUUAGGUGUUAGUCUCUUAAAUUAAUAAAGG
Molecule: transfer RNA, 52 nt
Filed under: Lycosa sp.
Lineage: Eukaryota; Metazoa; Arthropoda; Arachnida; Araneae; Lycosidae
Description: tRNA-Lys
Source: RNAcentral